UACGUAGGGGGCAAGCGUUGUCCGGAUUUACUGGGUGUAAAGGGUGCGUAGGCGGCUUUGCAAGUCAGAAGUGAAAUCUAUGGGCUUAACCCAUAAACUGCUUUUGAAACUGCAGGGCUUGAGUGAAGUAGAGGUAGGCGGAAUUCCCGGUGUAGCGGUGAAAUGCGUAGAGAUCGGGAGGAACACCAGUGGCGAAGGCGGCCUACUGGGCUUUAACUGACGCUGAGGCACGAAAGCGUGGGUAGCAAACAGG
RNAcentral lists this ribosomal RNA (253 nucleotides) under uncultured bacterium. RNAcentral's name for it is "partial 16S ribosomal RNA". It matches the Rfam family "Bacterial small subunit ribosomal RNA", at positions 524 to 776 of the family's 1533-position model. The record is from RNAcentral.